RNAcentral lists this transfer RNA (85 nucleotides) under Methanosarcina thermophila. RNAcentral describes it as "tRNA-Ser". It matches the Rfam family "tRNA". Rfam says of the family: Transfer RNA (tRNA) molecules are approximately 80 nucleotides in length. Their secondary structure includes four short double-helical elements and three loops (D, anti-codon, and T loops). Lineage: Archaea; Methanobacteriati; Methanobacteriota; Methanomicrobia; Methanosarcinales; Methanosarcinaceae. RNAcentral also lists the same sequence under 3 other names. The record is from RNAcentral.
GACGAGAUAGCCAAGCCCGGUAUGGCGCGGGAUUGCUAAUCCCGUGAUGCUUUGCAUCUCGGGGGUUCGAAUCCCCCUCUCGUCG